UUUCACAAUCGGUGUUCAAGGAAAUAAUGCAUGAGUUCGAAUGUAUCCUGGCUGGCAAACCAACAAUAGGCGAUAACCAUAUCUGGAUACUUGGGUUUAUUCACAACAGCGAGCAACAUGUGCACACUUUCCCUCUACACCGGUUGUGAUUUCAAAGCUGGCUGCCUCAGUUAGGAUGGCGACCUCUCAGAAGUUAACAGACCACUUUCUGACAUGUACAAUAUGUACAGAGGUGUUUGACAACCCAUGCACACUUGCGUGUAAUCACACCUUCUGUCGGAAAUGUGUCAUCAGCUACACCAAAACCAAACCAGAAGCCAUCAGUGCCAAGUCUCUUCUGUGUCCAUUCUGCAGCAAGAUGACGAAAGUGUCUGAGCCUGGCAGACCAGUGGAGGAGUGGGCGGACGAUGUGAAGCCAAGCUUUGUGAUCCAGGGACUGUUGGACUCAUUUGGCCCUGGAUCUAAAGAUACAACUAACUGCCGUUAUUGUAAGGAAGAAGGGGAGACAACCCUUGCUACCUCCUGGUGCUCUGUCUGUGACGACGCCCUCUGUGAACGAUGUGUACGGAUGCACAAUCGCAAUCCAUCCUCCCGUCACCAUGACGUAGUCGGCAUGUCUCCAGAGGUCAAGGUCAGAAGAAGAAGGCAAGGGGUUAUGUGUAAGGAUCACAAAGAUGAGGUUAUAAAAUUGAUGUGCAAAGACUGUAAGAAAGCAGUUUGUCAAACAUGUUGUAUUAUCUAUCACAGAAAUUGUAGAUGUGUUGUCGAAAUUGAGUCAGAAAUACCAACAAUGAAAUCAGAGCUGGAAAAGAAUAAACAUAAUUUGUUGGAGAGGUGUGCUGAGAUAAAAGCACUCGUUGACAAACAGAAAACAACAUCCAAAGAGGAAUCAAAGCAUUAUUUACAAAUGGAGUCUGACAUUAAGUCUGCCACAAACAAAGUGAUUGAUAUGCUGAAACAGAAGGAAAAGAAGCUUCUCAGUGAGCUGAAAGAGAUGUCAGACAAACACCUAGGUCAGUUAAAAGCAGACAUAAAAUCAGGAGAGAUGUCAGUACAGGUGUACCAACAACAGGCUGAGUUGAUAGACCAGGCUCUACAAUCUGAGUGUGACAUGGACGUGUAUGAGAUGUAUCGGGGAUGUGAGGCCGGUGAUGUGGACGCUGUUACAGACGUGAAGGAGAGGGGGAGAAUAGCCAGAACCGUUUUCAGACAGGACACAGGCCAGCUGAGUAGAGCACUUGACGAUCUACAGCUGGGUGAGAUUGAUGUCCAGUAUGAGAGUGUGCUGGACAUGAAGGCAACUCCUAUGUUACACAACACUAUUAACGCCACAGUCGGAGACAUUGAAGAAGCAUAUCUUGUAGACAUCACAGUGGUUGUUGUGAAUGGUGUAGAUACGGUCGUUGUCACAGACGCACUUAACAAAAGUGUGAAGUCCUUCUACACAAGUAAUAACAAAGUGUUCCACUGUAAGCUCAGUCUCGGUGACACGCCGUGGGGUAUAACAAGGCUGAAACACAACCAGGUGGCUGUCACUCUGUCAGAUACCAGUCAGAUUGUAACAGUUGAAGUCAACCCUGACCUUGUGUUGCUGUCAACCAUCACAACCAGCAAACAGUACUCGGGUAUAACGUCUCUGACACCAUCAACACUAGCAGCGGGUUCCGAGUCCCCUCCCUGUGUUGAUAUCCUAGAUAUGACGGGACACGUGAUGAGGAGUAUCAGUCCACUCCACAAUGGAAACAACAUAUUACAAGCACCAUUAUUCCUCUGUACUACGAGUAAAGGAAACAUCCUUGUGUCUGAUUUGAAAUCCAAGUGUGCUGUUUGUUUGACCCCUGGGGGAGAUGUGGUGUUCACCUACAGCCCUACAGGAGCCACAGCACUGGAGCGUCCAGCUGGUAUCACAGCUACCAGCACAGGUGACAUCCUGGUUACCGAUAGCUCUCUAGAGAGGGUCAUCCAUCUGACUGAGUCGGGGACGUUUGUGAGAAAUAUUCUGACAUCCCAGGAUGGUAUUGAGGGUCCCUGGGGUCUGUGUCUAGAUAGGUCUGGCUAUAUGUACGUGUGCAUGUCAAAUGUGGUUACGGUUUUCUCACUGCACUAGAUGGGGAUAGGACUAAACCAAGUUUUGUUAUAACAGCUACAGGACGGUGGGUGUAGCCUAGUGGUUAAAGCGUUCGCUCGUCACGCCAAAGACCCGGGUUCGAUUCCCCACAUGCGAACAAUGUGUGAAGCCCAUUUCUGGUGUCCUCCGCCGCUACAUAGCUGGAAUAAUUGCAAAAGGCUGCGUUAAUCUAAACUCACUAACUCACUAUAACAGCUAUACGGUCUUUGUUGUGUUGCUCAGGGGUGUGUCUGUUUUGGACUGUGAUUGUCAGCAUUUUGGAAACAUCAAAUAUGUUGGUAUCAUAAUGUUUAGUAUGCGGGUUCGGGAAGUUCAUGAUUUGUCACAAGUGUGUCUUGAGCCAAACCCUAAUUAUAUUACUUAGGGUUUUGUUUCCCCUUGCUGUUUAAGCAGUGAGAAAAUGACAAAUAGGAGUAUGACAAUUUGAGUAUGACUGAUAAAUGGAUUAUAUAAUCAUGGUAACAAUGUUACAUAUGUAUCUCCCACUGAGUCGACAGAUAUGGAUAAUAUGGAUAAUAAGAAUAAACAUUCACUAUGAGAGUCUUUAAACAGCAGCACGCACAACACAUUGUGCAAACCUGCCCUUCAGGAUUUUACUGCGCAUCACUCAAUAAUAUAGCAAAAUUUAUCUCCCUUAGACCGGUGAGAAAUUGCAAAUAUGCUCUUACCUUGCGGCGGUUGAAGCCUCAUGAUGCAUAUUUCGCACACGGUGUGACUGGAUUCAGUUUAAUGUACAGAAAGGUUGAGUGGAUUACAUCACGUGACACAUCCCAGCUAGUUGACUUAUGUUGACGGACUGGAAAAAGGUAAAUGUUUGAAAAGCAGAUUAUUACACUCUUUGUGUCAUGGGUAUGUCAGAAUAGGUAAGUUUCGUCCGGGUCGAAUAUGUCGCCAUGUUGUUCACCCAGUCUGGUCUACUGGUAUCAAACUGAUGUGGAAACCCACAUCGUUCAUGUUCGUCUUAAUAUACUUUGAUCUGGAGACAUUGACUCUAAAUCGGGUGACAUUCUUCUUCGGGCGAAGGAUUUUUCUGCGGAAAAUAUUGCUGGUACCGGUCUCAGUUUAUCUCCUUUCAUGGCAAAGUUGAUGUGUUCACUUGGGUACUUGAUGAAAAGAUUUAAACACUGGGAAAUCGGAAUAACCCUAUUUCUCAUGGGAUGCUGGAUGAAGAAAGUCUUGGGAAUCAAAAGAAAGAUAACGAAAACGUCAUCUCGUUGUUUGCUUAAACUGUACAACAGUGGGCAACAAUAACAAUGGCGAAAACAGAUGACGAACAGCUGAUUUAUCGACUGGUCUUAUUCAAAGCUGGAUGAAGAAAGUCAUGCGAAUCAAGAGUAAGAAAGUCUCCAACGGAAACGUCUACUCGCGACUUUAACUUUCCUAAAACUGUAGAGUGGGCAACAAAAACAACGGGGACAACAGAUGACCAACAGCUGAUUUAUCGACAGGUCGUCCCUACAUCUUCUUCAACAGCCAACACCAACAGAGACUCUAUAGGAAUAUGGCCGUGAUCUUAGUGACAUAGCUUGUCAGUAUCUAUAUCAUGAUGAUGCUGACAUCCACUGUACUAGGAGAGAAAUACAUCUUUAUUCUCAAAACAUUAACGCAUUAACGGUUUGAUAUCUAAAUGUUGUUAUUCUGAAUUCAUUGAUUUCUGUUGCAUGCACGAUGUGUUUUCUUUAUUGAAACAAUGUUUAAUGUUGUUUCAGAUGCUAUGCUAAGAGUCUUUGUUAUACAUGACUGCUAUAUAAGUGAACUUCCACGAGCAUCAAACCCAGGAGAUAUUCUGGUGGUAUAGCUGUAUGCUAAGUGGAUCUUGUGAUAUGUUUAUUCUACGGAGAAGGGAAACCUGUUGUAUUUACUACAAAAAAACAUUAUUAACUAUUUCUUCCUUUAUAAACCGAAGAGAUCGCCCUACUAUGAAAAACUAAAAGUGUGGAUUUGGGCAGUUAUAAGUAUUCUGUUACAAAUAGUAUAUGCCUAUUGUGAGAUGUGUUCAUUCAUGUUAUGUGGUGACUUUAAUGCCAGAACAUCCAAUGAUUGAGAUUUUAAUCCAAAUGAGUGAGUAAGUGAGUAAUUGAACGAGUUUAGUUUUACUCCGCACUCAGCAAUAUUCGAGCUAACAUUGCGGUGGUAAUCCAAAUGAUGAUGUGUCACACCGACAAGGAUGUAUGCUAAGCCCCUAUGGUUUUCAUGUUUCAUUAAUGAACUUGUGAUUGACAUGUAUGAAGGUUGUAACGUUGGUAUUUUGUAACUUGGGAAAUUGGGGAUAUUUUGCUUUUACAUUUUGCCUAGACAUUGUAACUUUAUCAUUUUCACGUUUAAACUUUUUUUUAUGUUAAUUGUGGAUAAAAGUAUUGUUAUUUUCCGUAACGGACGUAUUUAACACACCAUGAAAAGUGGAAAAUUUGUAACGCAGAACUGAAAGCUGUUACAUAAGCUGUUUUUAUAAGAAAUAGCCAAGUUUUACUUUUGUCAGUUCGUACCGGUUUUGAUUGUUAAAUUUAUCGAAUCCUUUUAUGUGGUGCAGAAAUUUGUUGAACUAAAUAUUAUAAUUUGACUGAAAUGAUUCACGCGUCUUUAAAGCAGUACAAAAGUUGGUAAAUUUGCAUCAAACAAGGCAUUUUUGGGUGAAGUGGUUCGCUCGGUAUCAGCUACUCAAGUUCGUGUUUUACAAUAAUAGAUCAAAUUGUAAAGAGCAAAUUAUGUCAGAUCUCACCAAUGUUAUACAAUGUUUAAUUUGCUUGAUGACAGAGGUAAAUGUAAAUGCUAUUGGGUUUCUGAAGUGAGGGGAAAUGUAAUGUUUACCUUGUUUUGAUUUGUUUUGAUUAUUCAAUAUGUAUCAAAUCAUUGUUAUUAUAUAUAUUUGGACAUGUGUCAGAGAUAUUUCAUCUUAGAACUGUUACUUCUAUGUACAAAGUUCAAAAUGUCAUCAACAUUACGCUUAUCAUAUUUUUUCCUCCAGCCUGGAAUGUAUAUGACACAUUUACUCGAUAAAUAAUUGAUACCUGC
Molecule: unclassified non-coding RNA, 5140 nt
Filed under: Haliotis rubra (blacklip abalone)
Lineage: Eukaryota; Metazoa; Mollusca; Gastropoda; Lepetellida; Haliotidae
Description: protein wech-like, transcript variant X2
Rfam family: tRNA (bases 2154-2223)
Source: RNAcentral